Small nuclear RNA from Eptesicus fuscus (big brown bat), 104 nucleotides. Lineage: Eukaryota; Metazoa; Chordata; Mammalia; Chiroptera; Vespertilionidae. The record is from RefSeq and is a predicted model, not a curated record.
AUGAUACAGAGAAGAUUAAUACUAAAAUUGGAAUGAUACAGAGAAGACUAGCAUGGCCCCUGUGUAAGGAUGACACACAAAUUCAUGAAGCGUUCCACAUUAAA